Molecule: long non-coding RNA, 466 nt
Filed under: Medicago truncatula (barrel medic)
Lineage: Eukaryota; Viridiplantae; Streptophyta; Magnoliopsida; Fabales; Fabaceae
Description: lncRNA gene14042
Source: RNAcentral
UUUGGCAAAAGAAUUCAAUGACACAGUACAUUAUUAAUAAGAAGUGAAUUUUAAAUAUACAUCAUAUAAUAUCAUGAUAGUAUACAAAUUAAAGAAAAUCAAAUACCAAUAUAAAUGUCUCAAACUAAAAAUGUACCAAAAUAAAUAAAUAAAUGUCGAUUGCUCUAGUCUCUUGAUAAGAAAGUGGAUGCAGAUUAAUACUGCAUGACUACAAACGUGAGAGAUAAGAGUUAACAGGGAAAUAAGAAACUACAAUUGGAGCUCUCUUUGAUUUUUCUUUGCUCUUUUGUUUCUCUAAAGAUGAAGAUUUCAAUUUAGAUGAUUUUUCAUCAUAAUCAGAAACUUGAGAUGAUGAUCUAAAGAAUGGCCAAAGCAACUUAAGAAGGAUGAAAUCAAAGCCAUAAAAAAAGUGAUUUAAUUUGCACUUUGAAGUGGGUUUCUUGUUUAUGUAAGUGUGGAAAGCUGA